Cinara cedri is the source of this 224-nucleotide non-coding RNA. The record is from the annotation of a GenBank genome assembly. NCBI's taxonomy places the organism in Eukaryota, Metazoa, Arthropoda, Insecta, Hemiptera, Aphididae.
ACCGAAAUAUCGAUUCUCGUAUUGACGCUACAAAAUAGCCGAUUUUUCUUAACGAAGAAGUCAGUGUCUAUAUUUUUUUAAUAUUUACGACCGAUUUGCCAAUUUAUUCAAAUUAAUUUCUGUUAAUCUCUUUUAACCUAUUAAAGUUUAUCUAGAAAUUAAGUACCUGUUGAUUUAUUUGUUCAACACUAACAAUUUUUGAUUAGUUUUUCUAUUUUACGCUU